Long non-coding RNA from Apis florea (little honeybee), 1101 nucleotides. RefSeq lists it as uncharacterized. The record is from RefSeq and is a predicted model, not a curated record. NCBI's taxonomy places the organism in Eukaryota, Metazoa, Arthropoda, Insecta, Hymenoptera, Apidae.
UCAGUUCUAUUCUAUUUGGAUAUACAAUCACUAUCGUGCCUUUUAUUCUGAGCGCAUGAAACGUUCCGAGUACAGAGAUACAGUUUGAUCAAGAUAUGUUGAAAUGAAUCUCGAAUCAUCCUCAACAUCUCUUGUGAACGUGUGUCUUGAACGAAGGGGCAUGCUUGCGCAAUGAUGAAACACGAAGAAACUUUGUGGAGAGGGAAACUUUUUCAUAAUCAUCAUUAUCAUUUAAAAAGAAGGAAGAAAAAAUAUUAUCAAUUGGAUUGGAAAGAUCAAUUUUGCAAAUAUUCCAGUUUGUAAAUAUUGUAUACAAAUCUUGUGAUCACAAUAAAAAUUGUUGUUGUACGAUUGUAUCAUUUACUGCCAUGAAAAAAAAAAAAAAAAAGAACGUUUCGAAAACGAUAAAUCGAUAAAAAGAUCUAUAUAAUUAAUCUAUACUAGUUUACCGUUUCGUAAUGCAAUUUAUUGUAUCCUACAUGAUACAAAAUACGAUAUAAAGAGAAAGACUAGUACGAGGCGAGCAGCACACUUCAUCGGCAAUGAUCUUCUUCCGAAUUCUGAAUAAGUCAACUGCAGCAAAACGAAAUUCUCAGACCAGUAAAAAAAGAAAAAAAAUUAUUAUUCGUAAUUAACGAAAAGAUAUGUUGUAAUAAUAUUAAAUAUCGAGCGAAAUUUACGAAUGGACGAAACAAAUUUACAAACGAAUAAUAAAUUUCACGGUAUCGAUAUUGCGACCGAUUUUUUUAUACAAAUGGAUAUUUAUCGAUUUGGAAAGUUAGCGGAUCGUACUAGGACGAAAGAAACUUUCAAUUACGUUUCACACAACUUUUCUGGUACCUGUGUCAGCGACACAAGCGACGGAGGUAUCUCGUUUACGUGUAUCCUGUUAGUCUUCCAUUUCCUUCGAAACGGUUUGCACAAUAUGUUGGAGAUCCAAUUGUACCACGAUACAGAUUCCUCCUCCUCUUCGAUCGAGAUGUAGAUCGGUUUCUGCGUCGAUCUCCUCUUAAUCGCUUCCUCCUCUUGCUUAUCCAUUAUUAUUAUUAUUAUUAUUAUUAUUAUUAUUAUUACGAAGAUAAUUAAAAUUAAUUAGCACAA